Molecule: long non-coding RNA, 1268 nt
Organism: Oryzias latipes (Japanese medaka)
Lineage: Eukaryota; Metazoa; Chordata; Actinopteri; Beloniformes; Adrianichthyidae
Source: RefSeq, a predicted model, not a curated record
CUAAUGAUUUAUUCUAUGAGACAAAGGCUGUGACAGUUGGAGAUCAUGUGAAGUUAAACUGUUCACGCGGGUCUGCAGGAGAGCUUGUAUGGAUGAGAAUAGUUUCUGAUAAUCCUCCAGAAAAUCUAACUCAAAAUAAGACUCCUAAUGUUAAAGUUAAUCCAGAACCUGGAUCGCUUGAACUGAAAAUAACAGAAGCAAAGCUGAAUGAUACUGCACUUUACAUUUGUAUGAGGAUAAAAGAUGAACAUCUUCUGUCUUUCAAUGUGACAUACUUGAGAGUUGAAGAACUUGCUGUGACGGAGGCCCCUCCAUCUACUCCAUCUAUUCCUGUUUGCCCAAGAGACUCGCUGACUUUGCAAUGUUCAGUUCUUCACAAAUCCUUAAGGAAUUCAUGUCCAUCCAAUGAAAGCGCGUUCUGUUUCAGUGUUGAUUUUAGUGAGCCUGACCCAAAUAACACUAAAAAUAACAGAGCAAAUGAAGAGGAGAACACCUUUGAGGGAAAUGUCAUAACAAAAUGUGCGUCCUUUUCAAACAACUUUAUUUCUUCUGAUGGUUGGACAUAUUUCUGUGCAGUUCCCAAAUGUAAAGACAAAACACCAGUGGAAACAUCUCAAAUCAACACUGGAGCAAACAUUUGGACUUCAAGGAUGCAAGAAGUUGCCAUAAAAUGUUUAACUGCUGCUUUGUUCGUCAGUCACAUAAUUAUAGUUUUCUUAAUUUAUUUAGUCAAGAAGCUGAAAAAAUAAUUGAAGGCCCUUCUAAUGACAGAAACAUCAACCGGAGGUGAUUAGAUCAGACAGCAGAUGACCAAAAAGCAAACAAAGCAAAAGUCUGAUUUAUUUAAAUAUAUUUUUAGAUUUAUGUUUAAAUAUUUUGCUCUAUUCAGAUAAAUUGAGACAUGUUGGUUUAUGUGGGGCCAGUUUUUACUGCAGACAAGUCACCAACACACACAAAUGUCAGUAAAUCAAAACAACUUAAAACUCACACACACAAAUAAUAAAGUUUAACAAAACGAUAUGAACAUAUUUUGAGAAAAAUGUAAGUGAAAUCGGGCUGUCAAAAAAUGUAACCCCCUAAUGCUAAAUAACCUAUAAACUCUGCAAAUAUUUUUUGGAUAUAACCACAAGACAGAUAAGACCAGGUGCCGGAACUCAUCUGUUAUUUGAGAUAAUAAAUUGUUGGCUUUUUUAUCCAAACAACUCAGUUGUGCUUUUCAGUUAAAAUAGUUUUGCAUCUACAGGUUACAGGCAUCUUGAGAUCAAAGC